AUCCAUUUCUGUAUAUCUUGUCGAAUAUGACAGGAAAGCAUACCAAUAAAUCUUUUCUCCUCCAUUUAUCACAGGUUUUGACAAUAAGAAUGUGAGCAAAGACAGAGACACAGAGUUUAAGGAGAUGUUGCUGCUGCCCUAAACUUAUGUCACAGAAACACUCCCAUCUUGAAAUCACAGGUGCACUGUUGAUCAGGAACUGCAGUGGCUGAUGAUAUAAUCCUUGUAGGACAGAACGGUAAAAGAGAAGAGGGAAAAAUUGUAAAUUUUUUCUCUAAAAAGAGAUUUGAAGUUUCUUUCUUCAUUUCCGGUGGCUUGCUGAUCAAGCUAGCAGGAAGUUACAGGCAAGUCAUGAUUAUAUUCAACUCAUCACAUCAAGGAACUCCAUUGUUCAAAUCCCACUGCCAUUUUGGCUUGUUGACAAUGUAACAAAUUUUCAGUAAAAUAAUUUGUG
RNAcentral lists this long non-coding RNA (454 nucleotides) under Capra hircus (goat). Its description in RNAcentral is "lncRNA (ENSCHIG00000007955.1)". Lineage: Eukaryota; Metazoa; Chordata; Mammalia; Artiodactyla; Bovidae. The record is from RNAcentral.